RNAcentral lists this ribosomal RNA (410 nucleotides) under uncultured microorganism. RNAcentral's name for it is "bacterial SSU rRNA". It matches the Rfam family "Archaeal small subunit ribosomal RNA", at positions 330 to 741 of the family's 1478-position model. The record is from RNAcentral.
GUGCACCAGUCGCGAAAACUUCACACUGUGCGAAAGCACGAUGAGGGAAUCCCAAGUGCUUGCACGUAAGUGUAAGCUGUUUCUCUGUCUAAAACGCAGAGAGAGUAAGGGCUGGGUAAGACGGGUGCCAGCCGCCGCGGUAAUACCUGCAGCUCAAGUGGUGACCGUUAUUAUUGGGGCCUAAAACGUCCGUAGCCGGUUUAAUAAAUGCCUGGGUAAAUUGUGUAGCUUAACUAUACGAAUUCCGGGUAGACUGUUAAACUUGAGACCGGGAGAAGUUAGAGGUACUCCUGGGGUAGAGGUGAAAUUCUGUAAUCCUAGGGGGACCACCAGUGGCGAAGGCGUCUAACUAGGACGGGUCUGACGGUGAGGGACGAAGCCCUGGGGCGCAAACGGGAUUAGAUACCCGU